AAUCAACGCUGGCGGCGUGCCUAACACAUGCAAGUCGAACGCGAAAGUGGAGCAAUCCAUGAGUAGAGUGGCAAACGGGUGAGUAACGCGUGGGCGACCUACCUUCGAGUGGGGGAUAACCUUCCGAAAGGAGGGCUAAUACCGCAUGACAUCCCGUGUUUGGAUACACGGACAUCAAAGCCGGGGAUCGUAAGACCUGGCGCUUGAAGAGGGGCCCGCGUCCGAUUAGCUAGUUGGGAGGUAACGGCUCACCAAGGCUCCGAUCGGUAUCCGGCCUGAGAGGGCGGACGGACACACUGGAACUGAGACACGGUCCAGACUCCUACGGGAGGCAGCAGUGGGGAAUUGUUCGCAAUGGGCGCAAGCCUGACGACGCAACGCCGCGUGGAGGAUGAAGAC
This 399-nucleotide ribosomal RNA is filed under the name uncultured bacterium. RNAcentral describes it as "bacterial SSU rRNA". It matches the Rfam family "Bacterial small subunit ribosomal RNA", at positions 32 to 415 of the family's 1533-position model. The record is from RNAcentral.